GCCUUCGUGGUCUAGUGGUUAUGACGCUCGCCUUCUCAGCGAGAGGUCGAGAGGUCACAGGUUCGAAUCCCGGCGGAGGAA
This is a non-coding RNA of Anneissia japonica, 81 nucleotides long. The record is from the annotation of a RefSeq genome assembly. Lineage: Eukaryota; Metazoa; Echinodermata; Crinoidea; Comatulida; Comatulidae.